RNAcentral lists this microRNA (22 nucleotides) under Oreochromis niloticus (Nile tilapia). Its description in RNAcentral is "oni-miR-10675". The record is from miRBase by way of RNAcentral. Lineage: Eukaryota; Metazoa; Chordata; Actinopteri; Cichliformes; Cichlidae.
UAAGCAAAAUAAGGAAACUGUU